RNAcentral lists this ribosomal RNA (305 nucleotides) under uncultured bacterium. RNAcentral's name for it is "bacterial SSU rRNA". It matches the Rfam family "Bacterial small subunit ribosomal RNA", at positions 338 to 657 of the family's 1533-position model. The record is from RNAcentral.
CCUACGGGAGGCAGCAGUGGGGAAUAUUGCACAAUGGGGGAAACCCUGAUGCAGCGACGCCGCGUGAAGGAAGAAGGCUUUCGGGUUGUAAACUUCUUUUCUCAGGGACGAAGAAAGUGACGGUACCUGAGGAAUAAGCCACGGCUAACUACGUGCCAGCAGCCGCGGUAAUACGUAGGUGGCAAGCGUUAUCCGGAUUUACUGGGUGUAAAGGGCGUGUAGGCGGGACUGCAAGUCAGAUGUGAAAAUUAUGGGCUCAACCCAUAACCUGCAUUUGAAACUGUAGUUCUUGAGUGAUGGAGAGG